AGCGCCCCGCGCCGCCGCAGCGCCCAGGGAGACUGGCAAGCGGCCGAGGGCGACAGUAGCCUUCCUUGUGUUCUGCACCCUGGGGCUCUGUUGGAGUCGCCUCCCGACAAACGUUUUCCCCCAUCUAUCUCAUCCGCAGUUCCCUUCGCGCCCCGCCGUGACUCCCUUCCCUAGCUCCUCGCCAGCCAAGGCGCGUGCGCACGAGGCCCCACCGUUUCGGGGCAUCCCCCCGAGCGCUAAAUUCGUGCGUUCCAGCGCGCCUAGGCUAUGGGGUGUGCUCGUCCCGCGCUAGAGGCGGCGUUCCGGCCUGCCGACCCCAGAAACCCAAAGCACCCGGCGCAGUCGCCGUCCUCAGCCCUGACCGCGGGGUCACUGCUGGCUUUUCCCUCCUUGAAUUCCCAUUCAUGGGUUUCGCUAGAGACCGCUGCGGCAGUGACGUCAGCGGGCCGCGCGAGCACCGUCCUCCUGGCUACGUCACUGCCAGUCCCUCGGUGGGGCCAGGCUCCAGCGCUCGCCUGGCAGAUGCGGCCCCGGGGCCAUCCCGAGCCCGAGGGGCGGAGAGGGGAGCCGAGAAUUCGGAAGUGAGAAGGGGACCCGGAGACAAAGGGAAAAAACCAAGACUGAGAAAGAAGUGAGAGUAUGGGUGAAAAGAAUGAGAAAGGAUGAUACUGAGAAGACAAAGGGAAAAAGUAGACUGCAUGCCCCUCUACCAAAAGUGUUGUUUGUUGACUUUCGAUUUUUCGAAAGCGAGAAAAGAUAAAGAGCUCUUGACCUGUUUUGUAAGCUAGAUGUGUAAUUUGAGUGUUCAUUUUGUCACAUUUCUCACUAAACGGUCAAAGCUUUCAGCAUCAACUAAUUGUUUCUAAUGCAUUCCAGCCUUUGGGAUUUCAGCCUGAACAACCUCUCCCCUGCUGGCAAAAUUAUUGCUUUGGUUCAGUUCUUAGGGCAUCCACCCUUCUACUGAUUUGUGAUGACUAGCCACUGACAAGGUGGAAGGCCUUUGAAAGCACUGCAUAACUUCCACUGAUGAUGAGAUCACAUACCAAAUGCACAUAAUCCGGUAAAUGAGCAAAAGUAGACCUUUUAUCAUCUUCCCAUGGCAUGUUUCUUUUCUCUUGCUAAAACUUUAUACCUCCUACGUGGAUAUUUUUCUACCUGUCUGCUUUCUACUAUUAAAAGAACUAUGACCUCCAACGUGGUCUUGUGGA
Homo sapiens (human) is the source of this 1208-nucleotide long non-coding RNA. Ensembl annotates it as PDE7A divergent transcript. Its record names the gene PDE7A-DT. The record is from Ensembl. NCBI's taxonomy places the organism in Eukaryota, Metazoa, Chordata, Mammalia, Primates, Hominidae.